Molecule: ribosomal RNA, 543 nt
Filed under: Aspergillus sp. HA32-THA
Lineage: Eukaryota; Fungi; Ascomycota; Eurotiomycetes; Eurotiales; Aspergillaceae
Description: eukaryotic LSU rRNA
Rfam family: 5.8S ribosomal RNA (bases 158-311)
Source: RNAcentral
UGCAAGUCUGCCCCCGGGCAGGCCUAACCUCCCACCCGUGAAUACCUGACCAACGUUGCUUCGGCGGUGCGCCCCCCCCGGGGGCAGCCGCCGGAGACCACACCGAACCUCUUGUUAUAGCGUGUCGUCUGAGCUUGAUACAAGCAAACCUAAUUAAAACUUUCAACAAUGGAUCUCUUGGUUCCGGCAUCGAUGAAGAACGCAGCGAACUGCGAUAAGUAAUGUGAAUUGCAGAAUUCAGUGAAUCAUCGAGUCUUUGAACGCACAUUGCGCCCCCUGGCAUUCCGGGGGGCAUGCCUGUCCGAGCGUCAUUGCUGCCCUUCAAGCCCGGCUUGUGUGUUGGGUCGUCGUCCCCCCCGGGGGACGGGCCCGAAAGGCAGCGGCGGCACCGCGUCCUGGUCCUCGAGCGUAUGGGGCUUUGUCACCCGCUCGUUUAGGGCCGGCCGGGCGCCAGCCGACGUCUCCAAACCUUUUAUUUUACCAGGUUGACCUCGGAUCAGGUAGGGAUACCCGCUGAACUUAAGCAUAUCAAUAAGCGGAGGA